This 158-nucleotide microRNA precursor is filed under the name Trypanosoma vivax Y486. Lineage: Eukaryota; Euglenozoa; Kinetoplastea; Trypanosomatida; Trypanosomatidae. The record is from RNAcentral.
UUGCAGCACUGUUAAGUCGAUACCGCAUUGUCCCCCUCCCUCUCUCUCUCUUUCUUUCUCUGUGUGUUUGUUUACGGGUGUGUGAAAGAGAGGCAGAGAAAAAAGAGGGAGAGGGAGGGGGAGGGUGACAAUGCGGUAUCGAUAGAAAGAAAGAGCGA